GUAUUGAUUGCGUGUGACCGCAAAAUAAAUAAAUAAAAAGAACAUUCUACACUGUAUCAAGUUUUAUGUGAAAACGCAAGCCCUCCUGCAAAGGGGGGCCCACGCGGUGAUGCACAAAGGGGUAAGAUGGAUAUUUGUAUGUGAGAGGACUCGGGCGUGCACGACAAAAAAAAAGCCAGCGACAACCCUCGUACCCCCAUUGUACGAUAAUGAUCCUUCCGCAGGUUCACCUACGGAAA
Molecule: unclassified non-coding RNA, 239 nt
Filed under: uncultured fungus
Lineage: Eukaryota; Fungi
Description: sequence contains ITS1
Source: RNAcentral